This 390-nucleotide ribosomal RNA is filed under the name uncultured bacterium. RNAcentral describes it as "bacterial SSU rRNA". It matches the Rfam family "Bacterial small subunit ribosomal RNA", at positions 30 to 421 of the family's 1533-position model. The record is from RNAcentral.
AUUGAACGCUGGCGGCAUGCCUUACACAUGCAAGUCGAACGGUAACGGGCCUUCGGGUGCCGACGAGUGGCGAACGGGUGAGUAAUGCAUCGGAACGUACCUUUCAGUGGGGGAUAACGUAGCGAAAGUUACGCUAAUACCGCAUAUUCUGUGAGCAGGAAAGCAGGGGAUCGCAAGACCUUGCGCUGAUUGAGCGGCCGAUGUCAGAUUAGCUAGUUGGUGAGGUAAAGGCUCACCAAGGCGACGAUCUGUAGCGGGUCUGAGAGGAUGAUCCGCCACACUGGAACUGAGACACGGUCCAGACUCCUACGGGAGGCAGCAGUGGGGAAUUUUGGACAAGUGGGGGCAACCCUGAUCCAGCCAUGCCGCGUGAGUGAAGAAGGCCUUCGG